Molecule: long non-coding RNA, 1867 nt
Filed under: Carica papaya (papaya)
Lineage: Eukaryota; Viridiplantae; Streptophyta; Magnoliopsida; Brassicales; Caricaceae
Description: long non-coding RNA (CPAP_LNC012778)
Source: RNAcentral
GGAAUUUUAAAAUGAAAUAUGUGUAUUAAAAAGGUCAAAUGCGGAAGCGUAAUAAAAUUUUUUAUUAACAUCCCUUACACUAAAAUCAAAAACGUGCUCAAAGUAUAAAAGAACAAACUAACUAAAAGAGAAACUCGAAAAUAAAAGCUAUAAAUAUAACUACGGAGUCUUCAGGCGUCCCCUUCGCCGUCUUCCUGCGGAACAGGCUCGGGAACAAUGUCUUCCUCAUCUGAAAUGAUUAAAUAAGGAAUGAGCUACACCAGCCCAGUAAAGACAUCACACUAUCUCACCGUCACGGAGGUAAAGGUGGGUAGAAAAUACAAAAGACCAAUGGAGCAUAAUUUACAACAAAUUCUUUUAUCAAUAAUAAAAUCCUUUACUAUCCACUUAUCUCGGUGAAGUUCAUAAAACAAUAUACGAAAGAAAUAACAUUAUCAUCAUCAUGAAAUCAUAUGAACUGUAUAACAUAAUACUUAUCACGCCUUUUGCAUUUCAAUCAUUACACAACAUAUUUUUCCUCAUUUACCAGCCUACUAGUAUCCAUGGGGAUCCAUAGGGGUCCCGCUACCCGUGAACCCUUAACACUUGUAAUCAGAUUCCAGGGCCGUCCCCAUACCCCGUCUGGUAUGGGCGCAAAAACUAUAAACCUCAAUACCCCGUCCGGUAUGAGGGUGAAACGGGCCGUCCCCAUACCCCGUCCGGUAUGGGCGCCAAAACACAUAAGGUCUCCAUACCCCGUCCGGUAUGAGAGAUCACAAUCCCGGUAGGGUUCCCUACGGACCCGGUCCGUCCACCAUCUCCCAGGAUAUCUAGUCAGACUGACCACAUUAUACAAUUAUCAAUUUACAUAACCUUUUAUUCCUCUUUUUCCUCAGUCAGCAUCAUCAAAUCACACACAAACAAGCAAACCAGUAAUUUAUGCCAAACAAGAAAACAUACAACAUCGGGUUCUCAGUCAUUCAACCCAUAAUCAAUAGAACAGUGAUAUAUGCACACGAAACUAUGAAAUGAAAAUAUCAGACCUCAUACUGCAUUUAAAACUGUAAAAUAGGCCAAAUAACAGCUGACCGACAAACACACCAGACUCGGGCUCCAUUAGCGACCUUAAACAAUUUCACACAUCUGUUGAUUCAUGAAAUACCGUUUUAUCAUUUAUUGAACUUUAAUACCGUGAUAGGAAAUAGGGUGAGGGGUCCUUACUUGUUUUGGGGUCUGAAUACGGCUCUACAGUGCGCCUACAGGCUGUCCCUAAUUUUUCCUGAAUUUUUUCUGGGAAACUGAAACGCACUAUUGGUACCUGCACGUGUCCCAAAAAAAUUCCAAAUUAGAUCCAGGGCCCCUUUCAGCCAAUAUCGCAAUUCCGGCACGGCGGCGAUUCGCCUCGGGUUGGCCGUUUUCGGCCAAAUUCGGCCACACUUGCAUUGGUCCUGCGAUAAACACCCUAGGCCCUUGGGGGGCCAAAAAAUUACGAAAAACUGAAGCUUACCGGCGGCGGUGCUCUCGGGUGCGGCGGCUCUCCGGCGAGGUUCGUGUUUUAGUGAUUUGGCUUCGAUCAACCUGUAGAGAAAAGAAUGGAGAUCACGGUGAUAUAAAAAUUGUAUCAAACGGAGGCCGGGAAGGGCCUCAUCGGAGACCAAAACCGAGGAGGGGCACGGCGGCGCCGCUGGAUUUCGGCCAUGUUUUUCAGCCGUUUGGCCGGGAGUUUGGCUCCGAUUUGGCCAUAGGGGAACUUAGCAUUGAAAAACGAGCCGGGAGUAUGAAAUUUACCUCGAUCGGAGGUCGAAAAACUCCCCGGUGCGGCGGCGGGUGGCGGCGGGUGGCUCCUCCGGCGUCUGGUUCGUCUUCUCCAGCGAGGGCUGGCGGCUAG